Long non-coding RNA from Podarcis raffonei (Aeolian wall lizard), 679 nucleotides. RefSeq lists it as uncharacterized. The transcript is spliced from 2 exons. Lineage: Eukaryota; Metazoa; Chordata; Lepidosauria; Squamata; Lacertidae. The record is from RefSeq and is a predicted model, not a curated record.
CAGAAGAGAGGACCCCCAAGGAGAGGCUGCUCCCCAGGUCCCCUUGUGGUGCUCUUAGUGCCCCUGCCAGGGGGACCUUUCUCUUCCUGGAGUUCUUCAAAACAGCUUCCUGGGCAUCUCCGGUGCUAAUCUUGCGUGUUAAAUUUAAGGGAAUUUCCUCAGGACAAGGAUCCUUGGGUGGCCUGCAGACAUUUCUUUCUUAGAGAGGAAGAGAUUCUCGAAAUGCAAGGGUUGCCUAACAAGAGGGUGGAAAGAAGCAGAAAUGCAGGGAGUAAACCUUGUCAUCAGCUGCAUUGUCUCGAUUGGGAUGGCUGCUGGAAAUCAUUCUGUAGAUAACUGAAAUCAUCCUUCACCUCGGCUGUAUUUUCUGCCUCACUAAAGGAAAUGGUGGCUGUCUUAAACUUUUUCUUUCUAAUCUCAAACUGCAACUACUUAAUUUAGAGAGCUUUUUCCUCGGGUUUUGCUCUAUGUGGUAAAAUGGAAAAACAGAGCAUGCUGCAAGCACAGCAUAAAAAAAAUGGGAUUGCUUAAUACUUUAAGGAUUUUAAAGAGUUUCAUAUGCUGGCUCUGCAACACUACUAUCUUCCUCAUUCACCACAACAUGUAGUGACCAUGUAGCAAUGAACUACGGGACCUAAUUCUGCUUUGCAUUUUCCACUAAACAAACUUUCUCAUUUCA